AUCGCCUCCGUUUCGGUGGCUGCGCGGCUAAGCGAGCGGUGACGAGAACAACGAAGUCAAACCACGUUCCCCGAUUUUUCAAGAAAUUGCUGUCGUGCGCACAAACCAGUCAAGGGGGAAAACAGCAAGAAGCUAGCACCCAUUCCGUUCAUGCCUUAACGGGACUAUGCAACAUGUCGUAUCAGCUGUAAGAGAGGAUCACCAUCAUUGUUAUCAAAUCUUGGCUGCGCCACGAAUGAGACGGCUUUUUUGCGAAGGGACCAGUGCAACUGCAGGAUCACAUGGGAAUGCCAUCAAGGCUGGGACCAGCUGCGCUGGAUAAGCGACCACCUGGAAACACGCUGACUGUUCCGCCAGCAUGAACAAAUCGGAAGUGGCAUUUUGACAUUUCCUGAAAAUGCCGGUUCCAGGAGGUGCCAGUUCGAAUAAUGCGAAGCUUAGGACUCGGCGAGAGACUCGGCGAGCGGUCAACACGGGGGCGCUUCGAGUUGUUUCAGAGGAGCCCGCUGCGAUCGAGAUGGGCGCAUCCGUGCGGCUGUCGGUUCAAUUGUGACCUCACGUGGUUCAAUGAAGACUCCAGCUUCCACGACCCGCUGACCCCUGCCUCUGGCAUUGGACAUAGUGGAUGGGUAUUCUUCAGCAGCACUCGCUUUGGCCUCGCCGCCAGAGGUUCAAAGCUCAACAACGUCUCCAAUGCGUCAACACAAGCCGAGAGACCGCCUACCCGCGUCAGCCUUGCGUUCGGGCCACUCAAAAAUGGUACUGCGAUGACGGGCAACAUCAGAGUCGUCUGUUCCUCGCACAACAUGGAAGCGCCCGCAAGCAAGUCCUACGAGCUCAAGGACGUUUUCACACCCACUGGAGUUGAAACGCGCUUUAUACCACCUGUAGGACUCCCGGAACGACCCGAACAGUGCUAGGUGCACGAAAUAAGCCAUCGCAAGAGAAGCAAUCACCGGACAGUUUAUCGCAGUUAUACAUCCCACGGACAAGGAUAUGCGUGCAGGCGUCAGCCAUUCCCAAAGAAAUGUCCGUGACCACUUACGAGGACAAAUGUGAAUAUUUGUUUUCUUCAAUAGCCUGUGAAUCUUCUUUUGCAUAUUUUCUUCAAAUUUUGUUACGAUGUUCAUCUGCGAUGUAAAAGUUUACUUAAAGUAGAACUAGUGACUCUUAAUAUAUUUGGCAUUAAAAACACACUUUCGAUAACGAAA
This is a long non-coding RNA of Rhipicephalus microplus (southern cattle tick), 1211 nucleotides long. Lineage: Eukaryota; Metazoa; Arthropoda; Arachnida; Ixodida; Ixodidae. The record is from RefSeq and is a predicted model, not a curated record.